CACGCCGCGUGAGUGAUGAAGGUUUUCGGAUCGUAAAACUCUGUUGUUAGGGAAGAACAAGUACCGUUCGAAUAGGGCGGUACCUUGACGGUACCUAACCAGAAAGCCACGGCUAACUACGUGCCAGCAGCCGCGGUAAUACGUAGGUGGCAAGCGUUGUCCGGAAUUAUUGGGCGUAAAGCGCGCGCAGGCGGUUUCUUAAGUCUGAUGUGAAAGCCCCCGGCUCAACCGGGGAGGGUCAUUGGAAACUGGGGAACUUGAGUGCAGAAGAGGAGAGUGGAAUUCCACGUGUAGCGGUGAAAUGCGUAGAGAUGUGGAGGAACACCAGUGGCGAAGGCGACUCUCUGGUCUGUAACUGACGCUGAGGCGCGAAAGCGUGGGGAGCGAACAGGAUUAGAUACCCUGGUAGUCCACGCCGUAAACGAUGAGUGCUAAGUGUUAGAGGGUUUCCGCCCUUUAGUGCUGCAGCAAACGCAUUAAGCACUCCG
Molecule: ribosomal RNA, 488 nt
Filed under: Bacillus licheniformis
Lineage: Bacteria; Bacillati; Bacillota; Bacilli; Caryophanales; Bacillaceae
Description: bacterial SSU rRNA
Rfam family: Bacterial small subunit ribosomal RNA
Source: RNAcentral